Long non-coding RNA from Passer domesticus (house sparrow), 2894 nucleotides. RefSeq lists it as uncharacterized. NCBI's taxonomy places the organism in Eukaryota, Metazoa, Chordata, Aves, Passeriformes, Passeridae. The transcript is spliced from 4 exons. The record is from RefSeq and is a predicted model, not a curated record.
CUAUGGCCAUGGGUAUGAUGGAAGCAGUGCCCACCUGUGCUUCAAGCCCUUGCUUUGUACUGGUCAUGAAAGGAAAGUGAAUUAUUUUAGUGUGCAAGAACAGCUCUGAAGUAAGGGUUCUUAGCACUGACUGAAAGCAAGAUCCAAACCAUGUUGGAGGAAAGUAGGACAAGAUUCAUGUCGGUUUUGGUUGACGGGAUUCGAGUCAGAGAACUGCAGUUGUAAGGCAGGGUCCUAAAGGCCGACCUUCAAUGGCAACACUGGUGCCCUCCCCUUCAGGCUGCUUUGAAUCCUGUCCUUUGACUUCCCCCUUUCUUUGACUGUCCCAAACACUCACGCAGGCCCGUGGAUUCCAUUCUUGAUGCCGUGUUCACCGUGUCCCCGAAGAGGCAGUACCGGGGCAUGGUCAGCCCCACCACGCCUGCCACACAAGGCCCUGAAAGACACGUCAGCUGCGUUACCCCAAUGGCCCCGCAUAAAUCUAGGGGUUCACUGACAAACAGAUCUCAUCCUCUCCUCUGAUACUCAAAAAACCUAUUGGAAAUACAGAAGAAGAUUUUCUAAAGAUCUCAUUGGCCUUGGUGCUUGCCACAAGCAGUCCAAAGUUAAGCAUUGCUCUGGAUUUCAUGCUGGUGUUUCAUGUCUGAGAAAGGUCGUGUGUGGUAGGCCCUCGGUUCACCAUUAUCUGGGAGAAAUUUGUUCUGAGUUCAUGGAAACUGAAGAACAAUCAUAAUCUCAUUUUAGAAAGGUCUUUUUCUAUGUGAGAAAACUAAAGUUCAGAUCCUGUGACAUGCCCUGUAAGCUACUGAAACAGGAUUAAAAAUCAGCCUUGGGACUCCAGAGGUGCUGGCAGCACUCUGGACCACCCUGUGUCCCCUCCUUGGAAAAGAAGACACUGUUAGCUGGCCUGUCUAGCCAAGACCUCUUUUUUCCCUCUUUCUCAUUCUUUAUCCAAGAUCUGUUCAGUUCCUCAGUAGCUUCCAAAGAAUCAUUGCCAAGUUGUCAGGGAGAGUUUUCAGAUCUAUCUUAAGGAUAGUAAAACUCCACUGCUGCAACUUCAUAAGAACCCCUCUUGCUGUGAACUCUGAAAAGUUGUUGCUGCCCAAAGUUGCCGGAUUUUAAAAUACUUCAUGAGGAUGCAAACUCAGAGUUCUUCAUUGAGAUGUGCUUUCUCCUUCUGACCUGAAGUUGAGCUGCUGGAACUUUUCAGAUAAUUUGUGGCUUUAGAGGCUACCUUAGACUCAACAGUGGAGUCAGCAGGUUCAAAAUUCUUCACGGCUUCAUAGAAGCAAAAGAAGGGGUUUGUAAAACCUGUUUGGAACAGACUACUCAGGAUAAUGGUUGGAGUUACCAUCCCUGGAAGUGCUCAAGAAACAUGUGGAUGUGGCACAGGAGGACAUGGUUUAACAGCACACAUGGUGGUGGUACAGGGUUGAUAAUUGACUAUCUUAAAAGUCUUUUCCAACCUUAAUGAGUCUAUGAUUCUAUGACCUUAUAAGAACACAGGAACUACAUUGCUUGAUCAGAAAGGAGGGUUAUUUUCCCAGUACCUGUCCAUGAUAUUGGCCAGGUAUGUGGGAACCACAUAACAGAUGUGUGGGAAAACUGUUUAAAGAGGCCUCAGGUACAGUCAUAUUCUCCAAGUUUCCACCAAUCUAGAAUUGAGUGACCUCCUAUGCCAAAUGUUGUAUCUUUGUCUUUAACAGUCUUUGGUGAAUUUUCCUUACAGUUACCAUUUAAAUAUUUUAGAAGAUUAAAAGAAAAAUAGGUCUGAAGGUGCAUAAUUUGCAAAUCUUUCAUCUCCAUGAGACCAUCUGUGCAGGUACACUGCAAAUGAGAAGACAUCAAGCCCAUGUCCAGAGUGCUUCAUCUCCCCUAAGUCAGGACAAGUCCAGGGCUCUGCAACUUCUCCAUUCUUGAAUAACUGAGUUACAGAAAAAAAACCAAAAAAAAAACCAAAAAAAAAAAACCAACCCAACAAAAAACACCAAACAAUAAAACACUUCCCUGCCAAGAACAAACAAUAGGAUUACACCAGCUUCUUUAUUUACUGACCUUAUGAAAUACCUCCUCAAAGGUUGGACGUCGUUCAGGGGCUUCAGCCCAGCAUUGCUUCAUUACCUGGAUGCAUGUCAGGGGGGCUACCUCAGGAGCUAUGUUUGGGCGACACAGGGGAGGGGGCUUCUUCACUUUCUUUAUAAUUUCUGUGGCAAGAGAAGAAUGGGAAGAACACUGUAAGAUGGAGGGCCUUGAUAGGGGUAAAGGACAUGGACCUUUUCUUGUGUCCCUGGCUUGCUUCUUCAGCUGUCACUCUUAGUCCUUAGUACCCAGUCUGUGCCAAAUGAAGCUGGAUGUUUCUGCUUUUCUGUGUCAGUAGUCUCUUGAAGGAUUUAAAGAAGAUUCAUGUCUCUGGAGAACCAGGUUAUGAGUAAUAAAGUGGCUGGAUUGGGUAAGGAUGUGUGACAGAUGGAUGUGUGAGCCUGCAGGCUUGUAUUUAAUUAAAUUGCCUCUGGCUCUCUCCACCAGGACCUGCAGUCUUCUAAGACAGCAGAGGUUUAUGGCUGAGCCCAGACAGGAAGGAUACCAGCCUCUGGUGCUUCAUCAUUAACUGGGAACCAGGACGUAGGAGGCUGCUGGGAGUGGCGACAGUGGAAAGUAUGUUAAGGGGGAGAGGUUGAGUUCAAAACAGUGUCUGGGAAAUUACUCCCUGUCUAGAGCUCCCUUCCUAGAAAUGAGGCUUGUAAGGAAUUGGGCUUGGGUUUCCAAGCCCUGAGAAGUCAGCCUUUUAACACCCACCAAAGUUAUGGUAUUUGACAUCUUAUUUUGUUCAGUGCAGAGCAGACAAACAGAAUGAAAACCUCUUUCUCUGGCAGGAGUCCUGCUGUUGCUGAGUA